Kogia breviceps (pygmy sperm whale) is the source of this 224-nucleotide non-coding RNA. NCBI's taxonomy places the organism in Eukaryota, Metazoa, Chordata, Mammalia, Artiodactyla, Physeteridae. The record is from RefSeq and is a predicted model, not a curated record.
GGGUGUAGGACCUCUGUUCUUAAGAUGAAUACAAGUGGUGAGAGAAGAUAUCCCUGCCUUGUUCAUGAAGUUAUAGUUCUCUUUCAGUGGGAGCUGCCCAUACUAGAUAUUCAAUUUGGUCUUCCUCUCUUAGCUAUAAAAUGAAUGCUGCCUGUUCAGCAGGAAGGCCAGCAGGCAGAGAGGCAGUAUGGCACCAUUCAAGAAGCACCAGCCUGGGAGACAGA